This 457-nucleotide ribosomal RNA is filed under the name uncultured bacterium. RNAcentral's name for it is "SSU rRNA". It matches the Rfam family "Bacterial small subunit ribosomal RNA", at positions 27 to 518 of the family's 1533-position model. The record is from RNAcentral.
GGGAUGAACGCUGGCGGCGUGCCUAAUACAUGCAAGUCGAGCGGUAAGGCCCCUUCGGGGGUACACGAGCGGCGGACGGCUGAGUAACACGUAGGAACGUACCCCAAAGUGAGGGAUAAGCACCAGAAAUGGUGUCUAAUACUGCAUGUGCUCUUCGGAGGAAAGCUUCGGCGCUUUGGGAACGGCCUGCGCAUGAUUAGCUUGUUGGUGAGGUAAUAGCUCACCAAGGCGACGAUCAUUAGCUGGUCUGAGAGGAUGAUCAGCCAGACUGGGACUGAGAACGGCCCAGACUCCUACGGGAGGCAGCAGUAGGGAAUUUUCCACAAUGGGCGAAAGCCUGAUGGAGCAACGCCGCGUGCAGGAUGAAUGCCUUCGGGUUGUAAACUGCUUUUAUAUUGUGACGAAUAUGACGGUAGCAUAUGAAUAAGGAUCGGCUAACUCCGUGCCAGCACGCCGC